Molecule: ribosomal RNA, 371 nt
Filed under: uncultured organism
Description: bacterial SSU rRNA
Rfam family: Bacterial small subunit ribosomal RNA
Source: RNAcentral
CAGAGGGUGCAAGCGUUAAUCGGAUUUACUGGGCGUAAAGCGUGUGUAGGUGGUUGGGAAAGUCAAUUGUGAAAGCCCCGGGCUUAACUCGGGAACUGCUUUUGAUACUGUCUGACUAGAAUUCGGUAGAGGGAGGCGGAACUCCAGGUGUAGCGGUGAAAUGCGUAGAUAUCUGGAAGAACACCAAUGGCGAAGGCAACCUCCUGGGCCUGAAUUGACACUGAGACACGAAAGCGUGGGGAUCAAACAGGAUUAGAUACCCUGGUAGUCCACGCCGUAAACGAUGACAACUUGACGUCGGUUUGCUCUGCGAAUCGGUGUCGUAGCUAACGCGAUAAGUUGUCCGCCUGGGGAGUACGGCCACAAGGUUG